This 433-nucleotide ribosomal RNA is filed under the name uncultured bacterium. RNAcentral describes it as "partial 16S ribosomal RNA". It matches the Rfam family "Bacterial small subunit ribosomal RNA", at positions 29 to 507 of the family's 1533-position model. The record is from RNAcentral.
AACGAACGCUGGCGGCAUGCCUAACACAUGCAAGUCGAACGAGACCUUCGGGUCUAGUGGCGCACGGGUGCGUAACGCGUGGGAACCUGCCCUCAGGUUCGGAAUACCUCCCCGACAGGGGUGCUAAUACCGGAUAAUGUCUUCGGACCAAAGAUUUAUCGCCUUUGGAUGGGCCCGAGUUGGAUUAGCUAGUUGGUAGGGUAAAAGCCUACCAAGGCGACGAUCCAUAGCUGGUUUGAGAGGAUGAGCAGCCACUCUGGGAGUGAGACACGGCCCAGACUCCUACGGGAGGCAGGAGAGGGGGAUAGAGCACAAUGGGCGAAGGCCUGAUCCAGUACGGCCGGGUGAGUGAUGAAGGCCGUAGGGAAGUAAAGCUCUUUUACCCGGGAUGAUAAUGACGGUACCGGGAGAAUAAGCUCCGGCUAACUACGUG